This 955-nucleotide ribosomal RNA is filed under the name Lepocinclis tripteris. RNAcentral describes it as "eukaryotic LSU rRNA". It matches the Rfam family "Eukaryotic large subunit ribosomal RNA", at positions 2154 to 2965 of the family's 3401-position model. The record is from RNAcentral. Lineage: Eukaryota; Euglenozoa; Euglenophyceae; Euglenales; Phacaceae.
CAGCUUUGUGACGGGACCAGCUGGCUGGUUCCAUGAGGUGACUUCUGCCCAGUGCUCUGAUUGUCAUGGCGAAGAGAUUCAGCCAAGCGCGGGUAAACGGCGGGAGUAACUAUGACUCUCUUAAGGUAGCCAAAUGCCUCGUCAACCAAUUAUUGACGCGCAUGAAUGGAUCAACGAGAUUCCUGCUGUCCCUAGGUGCUGUCCGGUGAACCUACAGCCAAGGGAACGGGCUUGGGCGUGUCAGCGGGGAAAGAAGACCCUGUUGAGUUUGACUCUAGUUUGAUGCUGUGCAACGACAUGUGGGGUGUAGCAUAGGUGGGAGGCAAGUGCCAUCGAUCCCUCCUUCCUCCCAGAAGAGAAUGGAUGGUGCAAACCAGCAGUGAAAUACCACUACCUUCACCGUCGUUUUACUCACUGAGUGGCUUGGGAACAGCGGCCAAUCCAACAGAAGGCAUGCUCCCCUCACGGGGUCCGUGUGCCACGGCCACAUACUGCUUCGUGUGUCAAGUACCGUGCCCCUCUGGGGCUGGUGCGACCCUGGGUUCUACACCCAUCCAAUGACCUUGGUGCCUCGGGACAAUGAUCAGUUGGGGAGUUUGGCUGGGGCGGCACGCCUGUUACAUCACAACGCAGGCGUCCUGAAGCAUUGCUCAGAUGGAACAGAAAUCUUGCACGGAGGAGCAGGCCAAAGGUGCUGCUGAUGCUGCGGCUCCCAGUACGAGCCCAAAACGUGCAAGUGUGGCCUUGCGAUCCUUCGGUCAAGUGUGCAGGUUCUGGAUAUUGAAGCCAGAGGUGUCAGAAAAAUUACCACAGGGAUAACUGGCUUGUGGCUGCCAAGCGUUCAAAGCGACGUCGCUUUUUGAUCCUUCGAUGUCGGCUCUUCCUAGCUUCCCACCCGCAGCUGAGUGGAAGAGUUGGAUUGUUCACCACCAACAGGGAACGUGAGCUGGGUUUA